RNAcentral lists this ribosomal RNA (468 nucleotides) under uncultured bacterium. Its description in RNAcentral is "partial 16S ribosomal RNA". It matches the Rfam family "Bacterial small subunit ribosomal RNA", at positions 28 to 507 of the family's 1533-position model. The record is from RNAcentral.
GACGAACGCUGGCGGCGUGCUUAACACAUGCAAGUCGAACGGAAAGGCCCUGCUUUUGUGGGGUGCUCGAGUGGCGAACGGGUGAGUAACACGUGAGUAACCUGCCCUUGACUUUGGGAUAACUUCAGGAAACUGGGGCUAAUACCGGAUAGGAGCUCCUGCUGCAUGGUGGGGGUUGGAAAGUUUCGGCGGUUGGGGAUGGACUCGCGGUUUAUCAGCUUGUUGGUGGGGUAGUGGCUUACCAAGGCUUUGACGGGUAGCCGGCCUGAGAGGGUGACCGGCCACAUUGGGACUGAGAUACGGCCCAGACUCCAACGGUGGGCAGCAGUGGGGAAUAUUGCACAAUGGGCGGAAGCCUGAUGCAGAAACGCCGCGUGCGGGAUGACGGCCUUCGGGUUGUAAACCGCUUUCGCCUGAUACGAAGCGUGAGUGACGGUAAUGGGUAAAUAAGCACCGGCUAACUACGUG